CCCCCGGCCGGGAUAGCCCAGGGAAACCUGGAUUAAUACCGGAUGAGACGGGACCCGCGAAGGCGGGACCCGGGAAAGGCGCUGCGGCGCCGCCGGGGGAUGAGUCUGCGUCCCAUUAGCUAGACGGCGGGGUAACGGCCCACCGUGGCGACGAUGGGGUAGCCGGCCUGAGAGGGUGGACGGCCACAUUGGAACUGAGACACGGUCCAGACUCCUACGGGAGGCAGCAGCUAAGGAAUCUUCCGCAAUGGGGCGAAAGCCUGACGGAGCGACGCCGCGUGAACGAAGAAGGCCGUGAGGUUGUAAAGUUCUUUCGGGAGGGGGAACAACCGUGGCAGGGAAUGGCCGCGGGAUGACGUGAAUCCCGGAAUAAGCCCCGGCUAACUACGUGCCAGCAGCUGC
This 402-nucleotide ribosomal RNA is filed under the name uncultured bacterium. RNAcentral's name for it is "bacterial SSU rRNA". It matches the Rfam family "Bacterial small subunit ribosomal RNA", at positions 130 to 518 of the family's 1533-position model. The record is from RNAcentral.